GUGACUCAGUACACACACACAACCCUAAUCUAACAAACCCACUCCCUAGUUACAGGCUCUCCGCCUCUGCCCUUCCCAUCAAUUCCGGCCAACAGCCUGUCGCGCCACCGGAAACACCGAGCACAGCCUUCUUCAUCUCUCCCAUAGCCUCCCUCGACCUCCAGAUGCGGCGUCGUUGCCGCCCGCUUCACCACCACUCCGGCUACACGCCAACGCCGGACUCCCUUCUCCGAUCAAUAAACAAUCAACCAACGCAACAACACCGACAUCCAGGCAAUACACAAUCAUCACACAGAUCUGAUUAUACAGAUUGGUAUGUUACACAGGGCUGAUAACCUCACCAGAACGCUCGAAUCCUCAAACUCGAAAUUUCUCUCUGCCGUGUGUUUUCCUCUUAUUCCGAAUCUAAAUUUUACUUUUUAUUCAAUUUAGUUCUGGCCACACACAAGUGACACAGCUGCUGCAUAAUUCUAAAUUCGGUUUUUUCAUAACCGAAACCGAAUUAAUCGAAUUAUUUCGGUUCGGUUUCGGUUCGGUUUAAUAGAUAAUUCGGUUCAGUUCGGUUUAAUAAAAUAUUUGCAUUUCAGUUUUCGGUUAUUUCGGUUCGGUUUUGAACCGAACCGACCGAAUGCUCAGCCCUACUUAUCUCGUUGCUAUUUGACAGAAUCAAAAUUAAUCUGUUAUUUUAUUAACCAUUUCCCUAAUUUAUUUUGUCACGGGUUUAAUGGACACUAUCAAGCUUGAGAUAUAUCAUGGGGGUGAAUUCAAAACAAGGGAAGGAAUAUAUUACUGCAAGGGAGGUAAAUGCGAUACCAUCUAUGGGGUUGAGAUUAAUGACCUUUUAUUAGAGCGCUUCUUAGCUUAUUUUAAUGGCAGUGGUUAUGAAAAUGGUCUUAAACUUUAUUACAAGAAACAUCUGCCUGUAGAUAAAGAAGUUUAUAAAUUGUUGUGGAAUCACGAGUCAAUUGAAGAGUUACGUGUUAAUGCAAUAAAAUCAGGUUUUGUCUCAAUAUAUGCUGAUCAUUGCGCUGAAGAACAAAAAAAAGAUUUUAGUAAUAGUGUUGAACAUGACUGGAAUUUGUUAGAUGAUGGUGAUGAAUUAGAUGAUCCUGAUUAUAGAAAGGAUGAUGAUAGUGAAUGUAGUAUUGACGAGGAAUUGUUAUCUGGUGAUGAUAUUGAUGUGGAAUCUGAUGUUGAUGAAGAAUUGGAGGAAAUUAGAGAGAAGAAAAGAAUGUUAAGAGAAGAAAAUAUUAAUCCUUUGAAAGAUGGUAAUCCACAAAAUAUGAACAUUUUUUUGUUGUGAAAAGUGAGCUCUUGCGGUAUCCACCAUCAUCCCAAAAUCGAUGUGAGUCUUAUAGAUCUCCCAAAAUACCGUAGAAAUCCUUUUUAGAAUGAUAAUCAAACCACAUACAGAGACACACAAGAACAACAAAACAUCGCACACUGACAUCCCAAUAAGAUGGGCACACACUAAUAUUAUUUGUUCCAGAAAAAGGCUAUAUGCUUUUAAUUUCAUUUUUCAAGCAUAAAGAGAACUUUGUGAAAUUAGAUUCUUUUUUUUCAGCUCUAUAUAGAACAUAAGUUGACUAUCAUCUGCUAUCUCAAAAGGAGGAUAUUCAUCUCUUACUUAAUAAUCUAUUCUAAUCUCAACUAACUCAGGUUCCAAUUAACUUGAUUUCGAUGGAUAUCAUUGCGACCAAUAUGUUGUAAUUAUAAUAAUUGGGAAACAACAAUCCACGCUCAAAGUUGAUAUAUUUAGUUUUCAUCCCAUUCUCCACUUUGUAGGAGUAUAACAUCAAUUUUUCAUUUUUCUGCAACCAAAUGUAAUAUUAACAUAUGAAACUUGUCAUUUUUCAUUUUGUAAUUUUAAAAACACCAGCAGUAUAUUUAAAAACCCAAUAGUUAAUUGAGGUUGUUAUAAAAUAAUAUCUACUAUUUAUUAAUGUACGUAUAAUAUCUAGGAUUUUUGCAUAACACUUAAAUAUGAAAAACAUUAGUUUUAUAUAUAGCUACAAAUCCUUAAAAUAUGACAACACAAGUAUAUUAUGUGAAUUAUUCGUACAUCAUAUACACAUUUAUAUAUAAGGUUAGACGGCAGUGUUUCUCUAAAAAAAUUUGAGAGUAUAAUUGUAAACAAAGAAAUUAGUUGUGUAACAAUGCACAUUAUUCUAACCUUGGGGAGGGGGCUAGGGGACGCUAGACUAGAGCUGUAAUUCGAGUCGGGCUGCUUGCGAGCUCGCCCGGCUCGAACUCGUUAACUGGGCUUGACUCGACUCGACUCGUUAAACUAGCCGAAUUCGGUCAAAGGUUCCGGCUCGUUUAAUUUAACGAGAUGGCUCGACUCGACUCGUGAAAAUAAACGAGCCGAGUUCGGUUAGAGGUUUAGGCUUGAUUUAGUGUAAAAUUAUACGAGCUGGCUCGCUUGACUCGUUAAAACCGGCUCGUUUAUCUAAACGAGCCAGCUCGACUCGACUCAUGAAAUUAAACGAGUCGAGUUCGGGCAAAGAUUUAGACUCGAUUAGUUAAACGAGUCGGCUCGGCUCGACUCGAUUAAACUUGGCUCAAAUUAGGCUCGGCUCGAAACUCGGCCGGCUCGGCUCGAAUUACAGCCCUACGCUAAAAAUACCCUUAACCUCGAAAAACUAGUGUAUUUUUUUUGUCCCUGCUGAAUCAUAGAUGUCAACAUAUAUUUUUUAAAUGUCCUAUGAGAAUAAAGAGGUGGCUUAUUUUGUAAAAUUUGUUUAAAACAUAUAAAUGAUAAUAUCUAGCAUAAAAAGAAUAAAAGUGAAGAUUUUAGAAAUUAAAACAAAUUUAGUAAAAUUAAUCUUUAACUUAAGUAAUUUAACCAGAAAAAAAGAGGAAAGACAACAUUACAGUAUAGCCUAACUCACAAGUCGUCUAGAUUCAAUUGAUGUUUCCAUAUUUACUUAAUACUCUAUCUUCUCACUUGCUUUCCAAUUUUCAAGAUAUAAUAAAUUGAUUGAUUAUCUUUUUAUUAUUAUUUAUUUUGUUCACGAAUUUCUUGAUUCUUGGACAAAUGGUUAAUAUUUAAUUUUUUUGUAUCAUUUGUGAUUUUGUAUAAUGAAAUUGUUAAUCGAGGUUCUCCAAGAAUUAGAAUUUGAAGGGUGUUCUCUUACACAUAUGUCGUCGUUUGAUCUUGAAUUGACUUGGGAUGUCCUUGCUAAUUAGAAUGAUAAUUUAGACUUCUUUGUUAGUUGUGAAUUAAAAUGUGGUAGUCUGAUUCGGUACUCUCGAAUUACAUUAAAUUACCACGGGAGUCAUGAAAUUACAGUUAUUAGUUGUUGCUAUGUCUAAAUGUUCUCCUGUGAGUAAUUUUUUUUUAUCAUCUUUAUCGUAUUGUGAAUUUGGUCAGGACUUCGUGUAAAAAUAUAAAUGAAAUGCUUUAAUGAAGACAAUAUAAACUUACACACAAAAAUGAGUUUAAAAAGUGGUGAUGUAUUUUCUUUAAAAGGGAAGUAUCAAUAAACAUCUUUAACUCGACGCGGAGAUACACAGUGGAUUCACAUCAUGGAACAAUAUUUUAUUUUCUUAUGUGAUCAUCAGUAGUAAAAAUGCUUAAUUGGGGAUGUAAAAACAUAUAUUUCAGCCACCCCAAGAUUUUAAUCCUGGUUCGAGCAUUGCUUGGGUGACACAUCCCCACACUACAUUGUGUAUUUAUUAUAUGAUUAUAAAAUCAUUUAUGGUAUUACAUUUUUUUUAUGUGUAUCUAUAUUAGUCAGUUAUAUACAAAGACAUUUUAGAUAUCCUAGUGACGAUUUUGUCAUUCACAACAUUUUUUGCAAUUUAAUCGAAUUAAGAAACUAAUAACACUGUCAUCUGACGUAAUUAUAUUACAUAGAUUUCUAUAGAUUACCGUCGAACUUUUAUACAAAAUUUACGAAAAAUCAUGAUAAAACAGAGUUAUAAGACCUAAACAUGGUUCAUAUAAAUCUCUUACAUAUUAGAGAUAUUGCUAAGAUUAUAAAAUCUAUUACCAAAUUCUAAUGAAUAUCAGUUUAGAAAUUUCAUAAAAACUCGUACGCAUUUAAAGACCAUCAAAUACGGGAUAAUAAAGAGUAAUGAUUUCAGCAAGAGCAGCCGGAUGGACUACUAUAGUGAGUCUAGUGACUACUAGAAUAGAGUUAAGUCAAAAAGUAUGGUAUAGCAGCCUUUUCGAGCGAGCCUCUGGGAUCUCCUGUAAACCCACAUGAUAUGGUAAACGGAGGAUAUUAGGGAAAGCGGUGAGUGGAGAUUCCCCUGCAGAGAGCCGGAUGAGGGGAGACCUUCACGUCCGGUUCGGAGGGCGGGGAUAUCCCAACCAUACUAUCAUUAUGCCUUUGCAAUGUUACUUGGUUCAACUCUAUUUGUGACCUUUUCUCAUAUGUGGGACUCUCUAUCUUUUUGGGUAGAUAAUCGAUCGUCUAUCCAAAUGAAAGACGAUCGAUUAUCUACCCAAGAAUAUAGAAGAGUCCCACAUACGAGAAACUAAUAACAUUGUCAUCUGACGUAAUAAUAUUACAUAGAUUUCUAUAGAUCACCGUCGAUCUUUUAUACAAAAUCUACGAAUAAUCGCCGUAAAACAGAGUUAUAAGAUCUAAACAUGGUUCAUAAAAAUCUCUUACAUAGCAGAGAUAUUGCUAAGAUUAUAAAAUAUAUUACCAAAUUCUAAUGAAAUAUCAGUUUAAAAAUUUCAUAAUUACUCGUACGCAUUUAAAGACCAUCAAACUUGAACUUAUAUGAAUCGAAUACUAUAAUAUUUUUAACAUAAUUUGUAAUCUUGGUUAAAUACCACAAAAGAUAAUUUAGAACCACAAGUUAAAAUCUAAAGAUCUUAAUAUGCUUUUUCAUGAUAAAAGGAUAAUCCUGGAUUUAAUCAUAUAAAAAAAGGUUCAAGAAUGAAGAUUGAGCUCCUUAAACUUGUUCAAAAACUGCAUAGCCACAAAUUGUUGACUAAGAUAACCAACCUAGCUAUCUUACAUAAGCUAGAUCUAUUUGUGGCGACAUUUAAAUAGUUGAAUCUCCAACGGAAAGACGGAGCUCCAAAUCUGGUUCUUCUUUACUACUUGACCCUGGAGCUGCCGAACUCCCUGAGACCGAUGAAUCAGUGCGAGCUCUCUUGCGCUUUUGUUCCGUUUCUUUUUCUUCCUGCACAAUUAAUGAAAUAUAGUCUCUCUAUUAAGCUUGUUUUUGUGUAAUUCUGUUUUCAAUCUUGUGUAUAUACAUUUCAUACUUUAACAAGUCUUGUUACAUACAGUUUGGGGUACAUGAGUUGAAGAUGGUGCAGGAGCAGAAGUAUGCCACACAGACGGUGAUGGAGCACCAUGUAUCUGAAAGUUGUUUAAACCCCCCUGUAAAACCAACAAAAAAUGAUAGAUAUAUUUCAAGUCAUAUAAAAAGAAAUGAAACAUGGACUUAUACUUAUUAAACAUAUACGAUACGAUACCAUUAGGCCUUGAACACCUGCCAGAGCUGGUGCAGCCACAGAAGGAGCCACAGGAGGAUUCAGAAAUGGGGGCACCUACAUAGAUGACGUUAACAACCAUAGAUGGGACUCUUUUUACUCAAAUUCAACAUAAAAAAAAUUAAUAAUUGUUUUUUUAGUAUAUGUGUCUACCAUCAAAUGCCAUUUUAUAAGUUUUACUUAUUUUGAUUGACAGCUAAUUUCUAAUAUUGGUGGGCCCUUUUAUAUACAAAACUGCAAAUGCAUAUUUAGACAAUAAAUGAUUACAAUAUCUAGAAUCCAAAGAUUUAUUUGAAAAUGAGGCCGUUUAAAAAAUCUCCAAAGAAUAUAUCUCUAUUAGAUAUUCUAUUUCUAUUUUAGUUGUAUCGUUAUAUUCGAAAAUCAGUAUCAUUAUAUUUUCUAUAUAGUGGAUAUCUUUUUUGCACUUUAUAAAAUCAAUAGUUGUUUUCCUAAUAUGUGUCUACCGGCACAUGUCAUUUUAUAAGUUUUACUUAUUUUGAUUGACAGCUAAUUUCUAAUAUUGUGGGGCCCUUUAUAUAUAAAACUGCAAAUGCAUAUAAUUUAUAAUUUAGUGGUGACAAACCCAAUUAUAAGAAUUGUCGAUAUAGAUAUAUGAUUACAAUCUGGCCACAAUUUCAUAAUGAUAAGAAAUUUAAAAUAUCCAAAAUUUAAAUUUAGUAUGACUUAAGGAAUAACUAAAUAUCUAUUUUCCUUAUUUUGAUGAUAUCAUAUAAAGGUCAAUCCAUUGUCACUCUUCCCACAUUUUUAUAUAUAUGCUCCAUAUUUUUGAUAAAAUAAAAGUAAUAUCUUAUACACGUUUAUCAAGAGAUUUUAAUUAAAUUGAUUAGAAAAAAAAGAUUUUAAUAUAAUCAAUCUUAUUAUUUCACCAAAAAAUUAAUGAUUAUAGGAAGCUGGCUUUAUUUUUUACAAAUUUUACAGAUUUGGAAAUAACUACCCUCACGACCAGGAUAUGUGAUAUCUUAUUAGUUUUUAGUUUAUAUUAGGAAGUACUGUUUAGAAAUUAUCAUGGUUACUAUGGGAAAAAUCCUUUUUUAUUUAUAAAAUAAUUAAGGGUAAAAUCUUAAACUACAUACAUAUACAAGUUUGAUGAUCUUUACCAUAUAUUGGUCAAUUACACGUAGUUAAAUUCCUUGUAAAUAGAUUACAAGUAUUUAUUGGAUUAAUGUAUAUAUUUUUAGUUUGAGUUUUGAAUAAUUUUAUUAGAUUAUUAAAAUUUAGGUAUUUUAGUUUUUAUUUUAAUAAUUCGUGAAAAAAUAUCAAAAUAUUCAAUUAUUUAUAUUGAAGUGAGUUUUUUUUUUUUUUGAAAAGAUAUUGAAGUGAGUUAUAAUCUGUACAUAUUUAAUCAAAAUUUAAAUUUGUUCAUACAAAAUUGAUAAUUUUCAAUGAGGUUUUCACAAAAUUUUAUAAAAUUUAUAAUAUUUAAUAUUUAUGAAAUCCUUUAAAAUAGAAAAAUAAUAAAGUGUCUCUGAAUCGUGUUGGAUUUAAUAAACUGGUAUUCAUUUCUUAAAAGUGUUAAAGCCCGGGUAAAGUUCAUGAGAUUUGAAGGUAUUUGCAAGAAACUCAUAAGAAUGCAUCAAAUGAUGAAGACACGACAUCUAAAAAGAUAUUUAAAAUUUAACAAAUGCAUAAUGAAAUAGGUCGAAUCACAUUAUCAAAACUACCAUAUUGGAGUAAAUCUUGCACUCUAAAGCAUACUUGGGAUAGCCUUUGUCUAGAGAAACAUCCAACAUUCUAUAGUUUUGAAAAAUUUUAUUUGCACAUAAUUUAAAAUUUUGACCAUAACUCUGAUCAAAGACAAAUACUUAGUGGAUUAUUUUCAGAAAAAUUCUCACGAACAUGAAAACAAACUCAAACUCAAGUUCAAACUCUUACAACCACGGGACAUUUGAACAAACCCAAACUCUUUUAAAGGACUGCAGCCCUAAAAAUGGGUUAAAAAAUAAUUCAACGCCAAUAUAAAAAAUUCUAAAUUAUACUAUAAGAAAAAUGAGUAUUUCCCACCAUCAAAUUGGUAGGAAAUAUUAAUGUUACAUUUACUACCAAUGGUAUUGAUGGUAAUUUCUUGAGUAGAAAAUAUUGUUGGUGAAAAAUGAAUUACACCUAUGAUCAAUCUAGGACCCAUUUAUUGACGUGGACCGCUAGGUGUCCAAGACCCACAAGUAUAUAUAGCCGCCUAUGUGUCAAGGCCCCAUACAUAUGAGUUGUCACGUCAUUUGUUAAAAUUUUAUGUCGGAUGUCAUUUCUUAUCUAAAUUUCUUCCUAAUUUCAUUCACUACCAAGUUAUUAGUAGAAAAUGAUGAUUUUAAAAUUGUUUGAAUAUGGUAGGAAAUGUUCAAGUGGGUGGGAGUUAUAAUAAAAAUUUAAGUUUUAAUUUUCACCUGUUCAUAAAAAAUCAGAAUACCAUUUCAAACAUUACAAACUCUAAAAUAUGCAAUCAUUCACAUUGUAUAAUAUAAGAAUAUAAUCAAACCAUUCCAUUCACAGUCAAAAAUAAGAGAAAAUGCCCAAAAUAACCAAUCUUCAGUGACCAUAUAUCCAAAAUACAUACUCUCGGCAAAAGUGUCAUUUUUAACCACACAGCCACGCUAUCCACAAAUGUGUAUAUCAUAUAAAAUUAAUGAUUGCACAGAGAUUGUUUUUUCUUUAUAUAGAGCUCCUGAGCUUAACUCAAAAUUCAAAUAAUUUCACAGGUACAUACACACAGACAAAUGUUACUUGCUCUGUUGACGUUGGUGAGACUUGGAAAAAAAGUCUGGGUAGUCUGCAUUUCCAUUCUCUGGUGAGAGUUGAUGAUGAUAGGGUUGAGGACAAUCUAUACUUAAUUAUCAAGAGAUGUUAGGUAUAGAUUUAAUAUACCAAACACAUUCAUGUGUGUGUCUGUCUAGUCUAGGUGGUGGAGUGCCAAGAUCUGGCUGACUUGCGCAUCUUAGUUAUGCGUAUUCUGGAAAAAUGCGCAUGUAUCACAUGCGUAUACUUUAAAAUCAGUUUUAUAAAGAUUAAAUAAGUUUAAACACGCAGAUUUAAAAUGCGUCUUCCUAUACGCAUUCCUAUACGCAUCCUGAGUAUGCGUAAUUUUUUGGUUAUUUUGGAUACUCAUACCGAGUGUGGGUAUUUUAGACCUAGUCUUAUAAAAAUUGGUUAAUUAAGGCGUUCACCCCAAAAAUAACCAUCGCAUUAAAAUUAAUCCAACACAAUCACCUUAUAACAUCAUUUCAUGAAUACUCAUCCAUCACUCCUCCGACACAUACAAAAACACCUACCACCAUUUUGCAACAUUCUGUUAAAUGAUGUGAAUAUCAAAAGUUAUAUAUUAUAUCAAGUUAAAUAACCAUAUGUCACACCAAAGUAACGCAACUAAAAUUGAGCCAAAUAUAUACCAUACCAAAUUUAGAUAUUCUAUCGAUUAAGGCAUUAGCUAAUUAUCAGAACUGCUUCUGGCUUCCUCAUCAUAGCUCUCAUUAUGGAGACUAGCAUCGCAAUCGUCUUCUACCUAUUCCUUCGGAACCUGCAGGCUAAAAGCAUAAAUUAUAGAAUAUAGUAUUCAAUUACAAUGGUGAUGGAGCUAACAAUUUAAAGUUUGAAAUAAAUAAUUUGUUUUCUUGAGAUCAGAUCGCUGCACCUUAACAUAUGAUGGAACAUAGGAUCCCUCUAAUCACGUGAGGACCUUCUCUAACGCUUUGCUAUUACAACUUGUAAACAACCCCAUCAAGUUCAGGGCCUUUCCUCAAACUCUAGGGGGAUGGUGCAAUGCUGGUAUAGCCGCCUCUCAACAAACUCUAUUGACACUUUUAAGGAGUAAAGCAACUUUCAUAUCUCCGUUUGUUAGCGAAAAGGUUCCCAAGAAGAGCUUUGCUUCACUAAUGGGUAUUCGUCAAGGGGAAAGUGAAAUUUUGUGGGACUACAUGAAUUGCAUUACUAAAGAAGCUAUCAAGAUUUUGGACGUUCAUAUAUCGUUGUCAUAAUUGGAUUGAGUCAAGGAACUACAAAUGACAAUUUUGGAUGAUCUCUAGCCAAGAAAGCACCCGAAAGCAUGGUGGCGUUGCAAGAAAGGGUUGGAAAAUAUAUCAAAGCCGAUGAAAGCCGAUGAAAGGAUUUUAAAGACUCAAAGAAAGGAAAUGGAUAUUAUGAUCAUGAUGAUAAAUGGAAACAUCCUAAAAUACAAAGAAAUAGUGACGAAAUUAAGAAAAAAAAUUGUCCCCUAAUAUGCUGAAUACUGUCGAUUAAAUGUUCCACGCCGUCAGAUAUUGCUUAACAUUGAGAAGGACAGAGAUUAGAAGUGGUCAAAGCCACUCCAUGCAAACACAAACAGUAAGAACCAACAUCUAUAUUGUGACUGUCAUAAAGAUAAAGGGCACAACAAUAAUGAUUGUAGGUAGCUUAAAGAUGAGAUUGAAUCUCAUAUAAGAAGAUGAAAACUGAAUAAAAUAUGAAUGACGAAGGUUAUAGCUUCAACAAUCAGAGUUAUCAGGAUCGAGAAGACAUGUAUAAACACCCCCAAGCUCGAGGAAUAAUUGUUAACAUGAUCUAUGGAGGUCCUACCGGAACAGGAUCCUCAAAAAAUUCUAGGAAGGCAUAUCCUCAGAAGGUUAUGCAGGUAGAAAAAGAAGCCCCAACGCACGCUAAAACUGAUGUUACUAAGACCUUUGGUGAUUCCAACUUGAAUGGGAUUAUCAAGUUCCCACAUGAUGAUCCUCUAGUUAUUAUCCUCAUGAUUGGAAAGUCGUCGAUUAACAGAGUUUUGGUAGAUAAUGAAGCUUCCGUCGACAUUCUUUUCCAUCAUGCUUACUGAAGAUGGAAUAUAAUGGUUCACAAUUGACUCCUUCCACUAUACCAAUAUAUGGAUUUAAUGGAGUGAAAUCUAAAGUUGAAGGAAUAUACUACUCCCCAUGACUAGGGGAACCGAACCCCGUAUAACGACCCAUAUGUUGAAUUCCUAGUGAUUAAGUUAGUUCAUCCUAUAAUGUGAUUCUGAUGGCAAGGAGUUGUUAUAUUUUUGUAUGAGACAACAAUGCUAUGAGAGGACAAGUCCUGCCCAUCCAAUGGAAUGAUUACGUGAUUUGUCCCUCGUGAGCCUUACCAAGAUAACCACACGAAGGUCUCAAAAGAUUACCAAAUAAUUUUCAAAAAUAUAGGAAGUAAUUCAAAAAAUGCCCCUAAGGAGAAAAAUCUGAAUGAAAUGUCUAGUUUAGAGCCAUGGGAACGGCUUGAUGAAAUCUCUAUAAGGGAUUCAAAAGAAAAGUUAUGUACUGAAACUAACAUGCCAUAUAACCUGAAGGGAAGGCAUGCUUGGGAAUCUGAACUAAAAAAAAUAGUUUGGUAGGCUAUCUCAACUACAGUAAGAUAUAGAUAAAGUACUCUCUCGAUAUUGGUCCUUCUCACAAGAAAUGAGUGAAAAGGAACAACAAAAAAUAAUUUAAUUGGAAGACACUCUUUACGAGCUUAUGUCAAGUUUUUUGGAUAUAUGGGGGCAACAUAAACUUGACUCCACAGAACUCGUUGAAGCCAAAUAAAAGAAAAAAGGGAAUUAUAACCCUAAGGAUUACUCGAGUAUAUAGGAGAGGUAAUGGUAAACCCCCCCCCCCCCCCCCCCCCCCAAGAUAAUGGCGCAAUCUCCCUCAAAUAAUGGAGUAAGCUCUCACUAAUUGUAAGAAGAAAGGACGAUUCGAAACUAAGGCUUUGAGUCGUAGCCCUCGAUCCUUCUCAUAAAGUAGAUGAAGGAAUACUUAUGCAGUUACUAGUUAAAAGUAAUAAGGCAUAACCAAUAUUAUAUCUUAGAAGUAGCGCUUCAGGAUUGCGAUUUGAAUUCAUUGUUCAAAUUCGCCGAAAUAAAUAGCUCUAGGGCAUUAUCAUAAAGAUCUCUUUAAUAAAUCUCUAACAAUGAUUAUUUUCUAAGUUUAAAAAAAUUAGGAGGAUUUUAAAUUGAUAGUACAGUCACUACAUAAAUGAAAUGGAGAACAUACUUUAAUGAAAAAUUAACUAAACAUCGAGGCCACAAUAGGAACAUUUAUCCAGACUUCCAGGGUUAAAAGGUCAUUAAGCCUUUAAUUAUAUCAGGGUUUUUUUUAAGAAAACAGCACUUGCAUUAAUCAAAUAGAAUCAUACACAAGGCUCUCAUGAACAAAGUUAGGAGGGUUAGUAAUCCACUCCUGCAAAUCUAACAUAGAACUCGUCGCUCUAGCUAACUUAUGAGCAACGACAUUCGCAGAUCUAUGAACAAAUUUAACUAGCACAUUCUCAAAGUGCUUACAGUAAUCAACACAAUCAAGAACUAUUGUGUGAAAAUAUUGUUGGAGAGUGAUUCAAAAAACAGCCAAGGUAGAAUAAGCAGUCAGAAAGAGCAUUACACGUGUUCCGAUAUUUUCUCUUUUUGCAGUUACGUUUAGAUAAUAACUGGUAGCAAUCUUUUAGUAUAUUAGUUGUAGUGGGUUGCUAUUUUCUCUCUAUUAGUUGCUACUUUUUCUCCAUUAUCUGUUAGUUGUAUUGUGGGAUACAAAGCCUGCAUAUAAAGGCUUGUUGCACGUCUCUUUAUCUUAUGCUGAAAAAUAAAAUCUUAUUCUAGCAGUUUACUCAGUAUUCUAUUCUGGUCAUUAUCUCUAGCAAAUAUCCAUCAUUGUGGUAUCAGAGCCAGGUUCGAUUAAGGAGUUGGGCGACGUCAACCAUGGCAGAUAGUUCAGGAAACAUCUCGCACGCAAUGAUUCCACAAUUCUCCGGCGAAAGCUACGACUUCUGGAGCAUAAAAAUGAAGACUUUAUUCAAAUCAAUGGAGUUGUGGGAUCUUGUUGAGAAAGGGUUCUCGGACCGAGAUAAUGAUGCAAACAGGUUAAGAGAAAACAAGAAAAAGGAAGCUAAGGCUUUGUUUUUCAUUCAGCAAGCAAUGCAUGAGACAAUCUUUUCAAGAAUCGCAUCAGCAACAAAGGCGAAGGAAGCUUGGGAUAUUUUGAAGACUGAAUUUCAAGGAUCAGCCAAAGUGAUUGAGGUUAAGAUCCAAAUUCUUAGUCGUGAUUUUGAGACCUUGUUAAUGAAGGAUGGAGAAUCAGUUCAGGAAUUUCUCAGUAGGGUCUCUGGAAUUGUUAGCCAGAUGAGGGCACUAGGUGAAACAAUUCCCGAUAAGAAAAUCGUUUGCAAAGUAUUGAGAAGCCUCCCACAAAAAUUUGACUCUGUUGUUUCAGCAAUAGAAUAAUCUAAGGAUCUGUCCACUUACUCAUUUGAUGAGUUGAAAGGUUCAUUACUCACACAUGAAGCAAGGCUUCGUAGAACUGAAGAGAAAAUUGAGGACAAAGCAUUUCAUGUUGCAGGAGAGAACUAUAAUCAACGAGAAAGUACGGGCAGGGGUCGUGGACACAUGUAUCGUGGAAGAGGUGGAAGAGGUGGAAGAGGCAGAGGACAAAGGCAAUCAGUCCAAUGCCAUUAUUGUAAAAAAUAUGGGCAUGUCAUGGCGAAUUGUUGGAAGAGAGAAAAUCAAGCAAGCUAUGCGGAAGAAGAGGCUGAGGAUCAGGAGCAAGAAGCAAAGCUGUUUAUGGCAAAGAUUGAUGAUACAAAGCUUGCUGAUAGUGUUUGGUUCCUGGACAGCGGGUGCUCCAAUCAUAUGACUGGCGUGAAAGUCAUGUUCACAGAAUUUGAUGAAAAUUGCAAUGUCAAAGUACGCCUCGGGGACAACAAGCUCAUCCAAGUAGCUGGCAAAGGCACCGUAGGAAUCAAUGGCAACGGUAUGACUAAAUUUUUGAGUGAUGUCUAUUAUGUGCCUAGUUUAUCUCAAAAUUUGCUAAGUGUCGGACAACUGAUGACAUCUGGGUAUUCAAUUACAUUUGAUGAUGGAGCAUGUGUGAUUAAAGAAAAGCACUCUGCAAAAGUUAUAGCUAAUAUUCCCAUGACUCAAAACAAACUCUUCCCACUUGUGGUGUCAAACAUAGAAAAAUAUGCCCUACCUGUUAAAGAAGAUAAUGAGUCAAGGUUAUGGCACUUAAGGUAUGGACAUUUGAAUGUAAAUGGUUUAAAGUUAUUGAGCCAACGAGGAAUGGUUUCUGACCUUCCAAAAAUUGAGGCUAUAAACUUAUGUGAGAGUUGUGUACUUGGAAAGCAAUUUCGAAAACCAUUCCCUGUCGGAAACUCUUGGCGUGCAUCUAAGUGUCUUGAUCUUGUACAUGCUGAUUUGUGUGGUCCAAUGAAAACAAUGUCAUUAGGAGGAUCUCGUUACUUCUUAUUAUUCACUGAUGAUUGUAGUCGCAUGAGCUGGGUAUUUUUCUUACAAUUAAAAUCAGAGACAUUUGAGGCCUUCAAAAAAUUUAAGGCAUUUGUUGAGAAGCAAAGUGGCAGAGUUCUGAAAGUACUACGCACAGAUAGAGGUGGUGAGUUUUUAUCGAAGGAAUUUACAAGCUUCUGUGAAAAAGAAGGAAUCCGCAGAGAGUUAACAGCCCCAUAUACUCCUGAACAAAAUGGGGUGGCAGAACGCAAAAACGUACGGUUGUGGAGAUGGCCAGAAGUUUAAUGAACUCAAGGGGUCUUCCGAAACAAUUCUGGGCAGAAGCCAUUGCAACAUCAGUAUAUCUCUUAAACCUUUCACCGACUAAAGCUGUAUUAAAUAAAACUCCGUAUGAAGCUUGGAGCGAGGAGAAGCCUUUAGUGAGCCAUCUUAAGAUCUUUGGUUGUAUUGCCUAUGCCAUGAUUGAUUCAUGUAAACGCAGUAAACUUGAUGAGAAAUCAGUCAAGUGUAUCUUUGUUGGUUACUGUCCACAAUCUAAAGCUUACCGCCUCUGUGAUCCAAGUAAAAUGCAGAUACUCAUACGCCGGAAUGUCAUCUUUAAUGAAGAAGAAAGUUGGAAAUGGGAAGAGGCUUCAGAGGGUACUAAAGUAGACAUGCCAGUUGCAUAUGAAGAUCCCCAAGUUGUGAAUGCAGGAGAGUACCAACCAAUGACCACCGCUUCUCCCGCACAUCAUGAAGGUGGGGCUGAGGAUGUUCCUACCAAAUUCAGGCCUUUAAAUGAUAUCUACGAGCAGACUCUUGCACUGUUCAUAGCUGAUCCCGUUACCUUUGAAGAAGCCAAUACGAAGGAAGAGUGGCGUAACGCGAUGAAGGAAGAAAUCUCAGCAAUUGAGAAAAAUUCAACAUGAGAACUUGUGGACCUGCCUCCAGGUAAAAAUGUUGUUGGAUUAAAAUGGGUAUACAAGACCAAAUACCAUCCUGACGGAAGCAUCCAGAAGUAUAAAGCACGCCUUGUAGCGAAGGGUUACCCUCAGCAGCAGGGCAUUGAUUACGAGGAAACAUUCUCCCCUGUUGCAAGAUUUGAUACUGUGAGAAUUCUCCUUGCUUUAGCUGCGCAUAAAUGUUGGAAUGUCUACCAAUUUGAUGUAAAAUCAGCGUUUCUGAAUGGUGUUUUAAAGGAGGAAGUUUACGUUUGCCAGCCAGAAGGAUUCAUAGUUAAAGGUGAAGAGAAUAAGGUGUACAGACUACGCAAAGCUCUCUAUGGGUUAAAACAAGCCAAUAGGACCUGGUACGACGAGAUCAACUCAUAUCUCCUUGCAACUGGAUUCAACAGAAGCCUACAUGAGCCAAAUCUUUACAUUAAAAGGUGUGGCAACGAUAUCCUCCUGGUGUGUGUCUAUGUAGAUGACAUAAUUUACAUGGGAUCAUCACCUUCACUCAUCUGUGAAUUCAAGGAGAGCAUGGAAACGAAAUUUGAAAUGUCUGACCUCGGUUUGCUGCACUACUUUCUUGGUCUUGAAGUGAAACAGACGGGGAACGGAAUUUUUGUAUGCCAAAAAAAGUAUGCUACUGAUCUGCUCAAAAGGUUCAACAUGUUGAAUUGCAAGAUUGCGGCGACACCAAUGAACAGUGGUGAAAAACUACGAAUGGAGGAUACCACAGAGCCAGCUGAUGCUAACUAUUUCAGAAGCCUAGUUGGUGGGUUAAUUUAUUUAACACACACAAGGCCAGAUAUUGCCUUCUCUGUUGGUGUUAUUUCAAGGUUUAUGCAUUCUCCUUCUAAGCAUCAUCUAGGAGCUGCAAAACGAAUAUUGAGGUAUGUUGAAGGGACUAAAAAUUUUGGGUUAUGGUUUGGUCAGACUCCAGGCUUUAGACUUGAAGGAUUCACGGACAGUGACUGGGCUGGUUGUUUGGACGAUAGAAAGAGUACAUCUGGAUACUUGUUUAAUUUUGGAUCAGCUGCUGUGUUGGAGCUCGAAGAAACAACCAACUAUUGCCUUGUCAUCUUCAGAAGCAGAAUUUGUAGCAGCUAGCUCUGGGGCAUGUCACUCAAUGUGGAUGAGAUACAUACUAGCAGAAAUUUAUCAAGCACAGGAUGGAGCAACUGUUAUCUACUGCGAUAACAAGGGUACAAUACAGAUGAGCAGGAAUCCAGUGUAUCAUGGACGGACUAAGCAUGUGGAUAUAAAGGUGAAUUAUGUACAGGAUUUGGUGGCUGAGGAGAAAGUGGUCCUGGAGUAUGUCAACACAAAUGAACAAGUAGCGGAUAUUCUUACCAAAAGCGUAUCCAGAGAUAAGCAUGAAUACUUCAGAAGGUCUGGGGGUGUGUGAUUUUGAAUCAAGAGGGGGUGUUGGAGAGUGAUUCAAAAAACAGCCAAGGUAGAAUGAGCAGUCAGAAGGAGCAUUACACGUGUUCCGAUAUUUUCUCUUUUUGCAGUUACGUUUAGAUAAUAACUGGUAGCAAUCUUUUAGUAUAUUAGGUGUAGUGGGUUGCUAUUUUCUCUCUAUUAGUUGCUACUUUUUCUCCAUUAUCUAUUAGUUGUAUUGUGGGAUACAAAGCCUGCAUAUAGAGGCUUGUUGCAGGUCUCUUUAUCUUAUGCUGAAAAAUAAAGUCUUAUUCUAGCAGUUUACUCAGUAUUCUAUUCUGGUCAUUAUCUCUAGCAAAUAUCCAUCAAAUAUGACUCUCCAUGAACACCAUUGCAUGCAUCAGCCAAUUGUUUAGCAUCCGUUUCGAACGUACACAAUUCUUGAAACCCAGUUCUUUCACCCAAGAUAGUGCUUCCCUUAAGCUUAUUGCUUCUGCCUCUCUUGGCUGUAGCAAAGAGUCAAACCUUCGAGUACAAGCUUGCACAAAAUCACCCUGAUCACUCCGAAUGACUGCACCCACUCCAAUACUAUUCAUUUCCUCGAACCUGGCAGCAUCGACAUUAACUUUGAUCCACCCCUGCUCUGGUUUACUCCACCGUGUCUAGGAAUCGUGUUCACAGCUGAAAUGUUUUUACUCACCCCCUGUUGUGCCUUUCUCCAAUCAUACAACAAAUUCAUUGCCCCUUCUUGUACGCCAAAAACUGACAUAUUAACUUUGUCCCACACCCACUUAUUUCUACGAUUCCAUAUAUUCCAACAUAGUAAAGCUAUUAACACUACCUGGUCUCUAGUUCCACAGGCAAAUACUCGCUGCAGAACAUCAAACACCCUCUCACCUGGUAAUACUUGGAUCAGAUCAUGCACACUAGUUGCCUCCCACACUGAUUUGGCAAACGAACAAGUAAAAAGCACAUGAAUUUCAUCUUCGUCUUCUACUUGACACCAAGGGCAUUUAACAUCUACCUGCACCCUUUUUGUCAGUAAGGCUACUGUUGUCGGAAGACAGGCACUACACGCUCGCCAUAGAAAAUUAACUUUUCCAGGCAAUUUCAUCGACCAUAACUUCUUUCAAAAACCUGAAUAAGGGCUAUUAUGUUCACCUUGAAUUUUGUGAUAACAACUUUUAACCGUGAAUAGACCCUUAUCAUCCAGACUCCAAAACCACGAGUCACAUCUCUCAAUUCUCGGUAAAGGGAUUCUUUUAAUAAGCUCCUGGGCUGAUAAAAUGCCCCGCCACAUAUAGCUAGGAUUAUUUCCUAGUGUUGCACUAAGGAAGUCAAUAUUUGGAAAAUAUCGAGCUUUUAUCAAACUAGUUACAAGUGGAUUCUCAUUAUUCAACAGUCUCCACCCUUGCUUUGCUAGCAUAGCCAAAUUAAACUGCUUGAGCUCUCGAAACCCCAGCCCUCCCCCUUCUUUACUUGUGCACAUUUUCUUCCAUGUCAUCCAUCUAAUCCCCUUCCUGUUACUUCCACAUCCCCACCAAUAUCCAUUCAGUAGACGUUGAAUGCCUAGCAACAUGAGAUUCAUCCAGAAAUUUUGUAUACAUUGAGCUGCCAUUUUCAACAAAGUAACCUUACUAGCUUUCGAAAUAGGCUUAUUUACCCACCCCUGUAACUUACGGCUAACUCUAUCCUUUAGAAAAUUAAACACCUCAUUUUUCUUCUUUCCAAUUCGCAUCGGCACUCCCAAAUAUUUACCUGGGUCAAAUACCUCUGUAACUUCGAGUAUUUCACAAAUUCGAACUCUACUAGCAGCUGCUUGGACUAAAAAUGACGCUAGACUUGCUAAAGUUAAUCGCUUGGCCAGACAUAUUUUCAUACCUCUGAAUAAUGUUCUUCAUAACUAUUGAUUCCGCUUCUGUUGCUCGGAAGAAAAAAUAGCAAUCAUCUGUGAAGAGCAGAUGCGAUCCAAGCAAAGCUUUCAUUCGGAUACACCAGUGGCCAUAGUUUUCUUUGGUAAGUUUUGGAACAGUAAAAGAAUUAUUCAUGGUUGUUGGCUCUGAUACCAAUUUGUUGGUUUUGAAUAUAGGAUUCUAGUAUAAUUUAAGUAUAUAAAAUAUAGAAUAGAACAUAACAAGGAAUAGAAGAACUAUUUUUCUGGGAAUUUUGUUGUUCUGAUAUAUUAUCUCUUCCCCUUCAAGCUUCUCCAUUUAUAAUAGGAGAAUACAGAUCAUCAUACAUGAAUAGCGAUGCUAUAAACAUAACCGUUACCAACUAUACCAUUUUUAUAACAGGGCAAUUAUGACCAACCCAAUUUGUAUUUUGUAGUCAGAUUGCCUUUCAGAUCUAUCAACUGUAUCAUGCCACUGAUGUAGCCACUAGCCAACCCAUAUACGAGAAACAUAGGUGCAGAAGCAAAAUGAUUACGUGUAAAACACCAUUUCCAUGCGACUGUAUGAUCAAUUCAUUAGAAUAUCCACCAUAAAUUAUACCACCUGCAGGAACGAUCAGUGCUUCUGUCUUUUUAGUUUCCUCACCCUGUUCUUUUUGUUGAUUUUUGCUUUUAGUUGAUUUUCUAGUUGAUUCUGUGAUUAUUAGUAUUGGUUCCGCAACUCAUUUUUCAGCUUUUACCACCACUUCUUACGUAAUUAAAUUCAAUUUUCACAAUUUUUUCUAAAAUCAAUCGUGAUUAGCUGGCGGUUGCAUAUAUGGUUGCAAAUGCAAUCUUCAUAUUAUAAAAAAACAAAUCAAAAAAUAAUAUUUAUGCAAUGGGAAAAUGAAUUUUUUUAACACUAAACUAUCUAGCUUUUUAGAAAAUUACCACUUAACUACAAAAAUUAGUAACUAAACAUUCUGUUAAAAACAAUUAACAGACGUUAAGCAAUGGACUACGUGGCAAAUUACGUGUAAAUGAUAAUAUAUUUAUAAUCCAUAUCAAUAACAAAACAAAAUAAAAGAAGGUUAGUAACCCUCACUGCCACGAUCAACAAAAAACCUCUGUUAUAUUCAUACAUGGGAGUCCACGGCUCUUCCUGCUAAAACAACCGGGGAAGCACCAAUCAGAGGAAACUAAGGUAUGAUCAAGUCAUACACAUACUUAUCUCUAGAGCUGAGCAAAACCGAACCGAAACCGAAAAACCGAACCGAACCGUGUAAUUCUGGUUAGGUUCGAUUUUUAUUUUUCUGAAAAUUCCGGUUAAUUCGGUUUUCGAUUAUUAACCGAAUUACAAUUCGGUUCGGUUCGGUUAUUAAAACUAUAAAUACGGUUAUUACCGAAAUAACCGAAUUAUAUAUAUAUUAUUUUAAAGUAUAAUAGAUAAAUAGUUAAUAGAAUAGAAUAAUCACAUACACAUGAGAGAGUGAGGUCGUGACUCAGUACACACACACAACCCUAAUCUAACAAACCCACUCCCUAGUUACAGGCUCUCCGCCUCUGCCCUUCCCAUCAAUUCCGGCCAACAGCCUGUCGCGCCACCGGAAACACCGAGCACAGCCUUCUUCAUCUCUCCCAUAGCCUCCCUCGACCUCCAGAUGCGGCGUCGUUGCCGCCCUCUUCACCACCACUCCGGCUACACGCCAACGCCGGACUCCCUUCUCCGAUUAAUAAACAAUCAACCAACGCAACAACACCGACAUCCAGGCAAUACACAAUCAUCACACAGAUCUGAUUAUACAGAUUGGUGUGUUACACAGGGCUGAUAACCUCACCUGAACGCUCGAAUCCUCAAACUCGAAAUUUCUCUCCGCCCUGUGUUUUCCUCUUAUUCCGAAUCUAAAUUUUACUUUUUAUUCAAUUUAGU
This 19788-nucleotide long non-coding RNA is filed under the name Daucus carota (carrot). The record is from RNAcentral. Lineage: Eukaryota; Viridiplantae; Streptophyta; Magnoliopsida; Apiales; Apiaceae.